RNAcentral lists this ribosomal RNA (477 nucleotides) under uncultured Gammaproteobacteria bacterium. RNAcentral describes it as "bacterial SSU rRNA". It matches the Rfam family "Bacterial small subunit ribosomal RNA", at positions 95 to 567 of the family's 1533-position model. The record is from RNAcentral. Lineage: Bacteria; Pseudomonadati; Pseudomonadota; Gammaproteobacteria.
GCGGCGGACGGGUGAGUAAUACUUAGGAAUCUGCCUAUUAAUGGGGGACAACAUCUCGAAAGGGAUGCUAAUAUCGCAUACGCCCUACGGGGGAAAGCAGGGGAUCACUUGUGACCUUGCGUUAAUAGAUGAGCCUAAGUCGGAUUAGCUAGUUGGUGGGGUAAAGGCCUACCAAGGCGACGAUCUGUAGCGGGUCUGAGAGGAUGAUCCGCCACACUGGGACUGAGACACGGCCCAGACUCCUACGGGAGGCAGCAGUGGGGAAUAUUGCACAAUGGGCGCAAGCCUGAUGCAGCGACGCCGCGUGAGGGAUGACGGCCUUCGGGUUGUAAAGCACUUUAGGUUGGGAAGAGAAAAGUUCUUCUAAUACGAGAACUCUUGACGGUACCAAAAGAAUAAGCACCGGCUAACUCUGUGCCAGCAGCCGCGGUAAUACAGAGGGUGCAAGCGUUGUUCGGAAUUACUGGGCGUAAAGCG